RNAcentral lists this ribosomal RNA (696 nucleotides) under uncultured bacterium. Its description in RNAcentral is "bacterial SSU rRNA". It matches the Rfam family "Bacterial small subunit ribosomal RNA", at positions 125 to 817 of the family's 1533-position model. The record is from RNAcentral.
CCUACCUUAACUUCUGGGAUAGCCCGAAGAAAUUCGGAUUAAUACCGGAUAAUAUCAAGAUAUGACAUCACAGCUUGAUUAAAGGCGCGAGUUGGUUAAAGAUGGGCAUGCGUCCCAUUAGUUAGUUGGGGAGGUAACGGCUCACCAAGGCGAUGAUGGGUAGGGGCUCUGAGAGGAUUACCCCCCACAUUGGUACUGAGACAGGGACCAAACUCCUACGGGAGGCAGCAGUGAGGAAUAUUGGGCAAUGGACGGAAGUCUGACCCAGCCAUGCCGCGUGCAGGAAGACGGCCUUAUGGGUUGUAAACUGCUUUUAUGUAGGGAAAAAGUUCAUAUUGCGAUAUGAUUUGAUGGUACUACAGGAAUAAGAAUCGGCUAACUCCGUGCCAGCAGCCGCGGUAAUACGGAGGAUUCGAGCGUUAUCCGGAUUUAUUGGGUUUAAAGGGUGCGCAGGCGGACUAUUAAGUCAGUGGUGAAAUUUUCCGGCUCAACCGGGACAGUGCCAUUGAUACUGAUAGACUAGAGUAUAAUUGACGUAUGUGGAAUGUAGCAUGUAGCGGUGAAAUGCAUAGAGAUGCUACAGAACACCGAUAGCGAAGGCAGCAUACGAAGCUAUAACUGACGCUCAUGCACGAAAGCGUGGGGAUCAAACAGGAUUAGAUACCCUGGUAGUCCACGCUGUAAACGAUGAUAACU